CCUACGGGCGGCAGCAGUGAGGAAUAUUGGUCAAUGGGCGUAAGCCUGAACCAGCCAAGUCGCGUGAGGGAUGAAGGUUCUAUGGAUCGUAAACCUCUUUUAUCAGGGAAUAAAGUGUGGGACGUGUCCUGUUUUGUAUGUACCUUAUGAAUAAGGAUCGGCUAACUCCGUGCCAGCAGCCGCGGUAAUACGGAGGAUCCGAGCGUUAUCCGGAUUUAUUGGGUUUAAAGGAUGCGUAGGCGGCCGUUUAAGUCAGCGGUGAAAGUCUGUGGCUCAACCAUAGAAUAGCCGUUGAAACUGGGAGGCUUGAGUAUGUGUGAGGCAGGCGGAAUGCGUGGUGUAGCGGUGAAAUGCUUAGAUAUCACGCAGAACCCCGAUUGCGAAGGCAGCCUGCCAAGCCAUGACUGACGCUGAUGCACGAAAGCGUGGGGAUCAAACAGGAUUAGAUACCCCAGUAGUC
This 460-nucleotide ribosomal RNA is filed under the name uncultured bacterium. Its description in RNAcentral is "partial 16S ribosomal RNA". It matches the Rfam family "Bacterial small subunit ribosomal RNA", at positions 338 to 795 of the family's 1533-position model. The record is from RNAcentral.